This 1320-nucleotide long non-coding RNA is filed under the name Oncorhynchus kisutch (coho salmon). RNAcentral describes it as "lncRNA (ENSOKIG00005020104.1)". The record is from RNAcentral. Lineage: Eukaryota; Metazoa; Chordata; Actinopteri; Salmoniformes; Salmonidae.
AUGUGGAGGCUAUAUACAGGGGGUACCGGUACAGAGUCAGGGUGGAGGCUAUAUACAGGGGGUACCGGUACAGAGUCAGGGUGGAGGCUAUAUACAGGGGGUACCGGUACAGAGUCAGGGUGGAGGCUAUAUACAGGGGGUACCGGUACAGAGUCAGGGUGGAGGCUAUAUACAGGGGGUACCGGUACAGAGUCAGGGUGGAGGCUAUAUACAGGGGGUACCGGUACAGAGUCAGGGUGGAGGCUAUAUACAGGGGUACCGGUACAGAGUCAGGGUGGAGGCUAUAUACAGGGGUACCGGUACAGAGUCAGGGUGGAGGCUAUAUACAGGGUAUUACGGUAUAGAGUCAGGGUGGAGGCUAUAUACAGGGGGUACCGGUACAGAGUCAGGGUGGAGGCUAUAUACAGGGUAUUACGGUACAGAGUCAGGGUGGAGGCUAUAUACAGGGGGUACCGGUACAGAGUCAGGGUGGAGGCUAUAUACAGGGGGUACCGGUACAGAGUCAGGGUGGAGGCUAUAUACAGGGGGUACCGGUACAGAGUCAGGGUGGAGGCUAUAUACAGGGGGUACCGGUACAGAGUCAGGGUGGAGGCUAUAUACAGGGGGCACCGGUACAGAGUCAGGGUGGAGGCUAUAUACAGGGGGCACCGGUACAGAGUCAGGGUGGAGGCUAUAUACAGGGGGUACCGGUACAGAGUCAGGGUGGAGGCUAUAUACAGGGGGUACCGGUACAGAGUCAAUGUGGAGGCUAUAUACAGGGGGUACUGGUACAGAGUCAGGGUGGAGGCUAUAUACAGGGGGUACCGGUACAGAGUCAGGGUGGAGGCUAUAUACAGGGGGUACCGGUACAGAGUCAGGGUGGAGGCUAUAUACAGGGGGUACCGGUACAGAGUCAGGGUGGAGGCUAUAUACAGGGGGUACCGGUACAGAGUCAAUGUGGAGGCUAUAUACAGGGGGCACCGGUACAGAGUCAGGGUGGAGGCUAUAUACAGGGGGCACCGGUACCGAGUCAAUGUGGAGGCUAUAUACAGGGGGCACCGGUACCGAGUCAAUGUGGAGGCUAUAUACAGGGGGUACUGGUACAGAGUCAGGGUGGAGGCUAUAUACAGGGGGUACCGGUACAGAGUCAAUGUGGAGGCUAUAUACAGGGGGUACCGGUACAGAGUCAGGGUGGAGGCUAUAUACAGGGUGCACCGGUACAGAGUGAUGUACUGGGCCGUUCGCACUAGCCUCUGUAGCGCCUUACGGUCGAAUGCAGAGCAGUUGCCAUACCAGGCAGUGAUGCAAACGGUCAGGAUGCUCUCGAUGGUGCAGCUGUAG